AUGUGGGCAGUUGCCCCGAACAGCGCAGCUGGCGGAGCGUUCUGGAUGCUUCCCAUGUCCGCAGGGUCAGCCGCGCCGGCAGUGGCCGCGGCCACCGGGUCCUCAGAGCCGUCCAUCUGGACGUUCCCGGCCAUGGCCGGGCAGUACCGCGGCGGGAUCAGCGGCGGCAGCACCAUCCAAGCGCCACUCCAAUUCAUGUCACGAGUAAACUUACCUGGUGCCGCCGACUUCCAAGGUGGCCGUGCUCUGCCGCUGGGAUCGAUGGUGCUGCAGCAGCCCACGAGCGGCGUGGCGGCUCAGCAUCUCGGCCUGGGAACGUCCGAGACUAACCUGGGCAUGCUUGCGGCGC
This 349-nucleotide long non-coding RNA is filed under the name Musa acuminata (dwarf banana). Its description in RNAcentral is "long non-coding RNA (MACU_LNC003228)". The record is from RNAcentral. Lineage: Eukaryota; Viridiplantae; Streptophyta; Magnoliopsida; Zingiberales; Musaceae.